AACGAACGCUGGCGGCAUGCCUAACACAUGCAAGUCGAACGAGACCUUCGGGUUCAGUUGCGCACGGGUGCGUAACGCGUGGGAACCUGCCCUUAGGUUCGGAAUAACUCCCCGAAAGGGGUGCUAAUACCGGAUAAUGUCUUCGGACCAAAGAUUUAUCGCCCUUGGAUGGGCCCGCGUUGGAUUAGCUAGUUGGUAGGGUAAAAGCCUACCAAGGCGACGAUCCAUAGCUGGUCUGAGAGGAUGAUCAGCCACACUGGGACUGAGACACGGCCCAGACUCCUACGGGAGGCAGCAGUGGGGAAUAUUGGACAAUGGGCGAGAGCCUGAUCCAGCAAUGCCGCGUGAGUGAUGAAGGCCUUAGGGUUGUAAAGCUCUUUUACCCGGGAUGAUAAUGACAGUACCGGGAGAAUAAGCACCGGCUAACUCCGUG
This 433-nucleotide ribosomal RNA is filed under the name uncultured bacterium. RNAcentral's name for it is "partial 16S ribosomal RNA". It matches the Rfam family "Bacterial small subunit ribosomal RNA", at positions 29 to 507 of the family's 1533-position model. The record is from RNAcentral.